CAGCAGCCGCGGUAAUACGAAGGGGGCUAGCGUUGUUCGGAAUUACUGGGCGUAAAGCGCACGUAGGCGGCUUGGUAAGUUAGAGGUGAAAGCCUGGAGCUCAACUCCAGAAUUGCCUUUAAGACUGCCGAGCUAGCAGGUGAGAGAGGUAAGUGGAAUUCCGAGUGUAGAGGUGAAAUUCGUAGAUAUUCGGAAGAACACCAGUGGCGAAGGCGGCUUACUGGCUCAUACUGGACGCUGAGGUGCGAAAGCGUGGGGAGCAAACAGGAUUAGAUACCCCGGUAGUCCCUGUCUCUUAUAC
RNAcentral lists this ribosomal RNA (301 nucleotides) under uncultured bacterium. Its description in RNAcentral is "partial 16S ribosomal RNA". It matches the Rfam family "Bacterial small subunit ribosomal RNA", at positions 509 to 807 of the family's 1533-position model. The record is from RNAcentral.